RNAcentral lists this ribosomal RNA (668 nucleotides) under Lactiplantibacillus plantarum. RNAcentral describes it as "bacterial SSU rRNA". It matches the Rfam family "Bacterial small subunit ribosomal RNA", at positions 709 to 1377 of the family's 1533-position model. Lineage: Bacteria; Bacillati; Bacillota; Bacilli; Lactobacillales; Lactobacillaceae. The record is from RNAcentral.
CCAGUGGCGAAGGCGGCUGUGUGGUCUGUAACUGACGCUGAGGCUCGAAAGUAUGGGUAGCUAACAGGAUUAGAUACCCUGGUAGUCCAUACCGUAAGAGAUGAAUGGUAAGUGUUGGAGGGUUUCCGCCCUUCAGUGCUGCAGCUAUCGCAGUAAGCAUUCCACCUGGGGAGUACGGCCGCAAGGCUGAAACUCAAAGGAAUUGACGGGGGACCGCACAAGCGGUGGAGCAUGUGGUUUAAUUCGAAGCUACGCGAAGAACCUUGCCAGGUCUUGACAUACUAUGCAAAUCUAAGAGAUUAGACGUUCCCUUCGGGGACAUGGAUACAGGUGGUGCAUGGUUGUCGUCAGCUCGUGUCGUGAGAUGUUGGGUUAAGUCCCGCAACGAGCGCAACCCUUAUUAUCAGUUGCCAGCAUUAAGUUGGGCACUCUGGUGAGACUGCCGGUGUCACACCGGAGGAAGGUGGGGAUGACGUCAAAUCAUCAUGCCCCUUAUGACCUGGGCUACACCCGUGCUACAAUGGAUGGUACAUCGAGUUGCGAACUCGCGAGAGUAAGCUAAUCUCUUAAAGCCAUUCUCAGUUCGGAUUGUAGGCCGCAACUCGCCUACAUGAAGUCGGAAUCGCUAGUAAUCGCGGAUCAGCAUGCCGCGGUGAAUACGUUCCCGG